UCGGGAAUUUUGGGCAAUGGGCGAAAGCCUGACCCAGCAACGCCGCGUGAGGGAUGAAGUAUUUCGGUAUGUAAACCUCGAAAGAAUGGGAAGAAUAAAUGACGGUACCAUUUAUAAGCUCCGGCUAACUACGUGCCAGCAGCCGCGGUAAUACGUAGGGAGCAAGCGUUGUUCGGUUUUACUGGGCGUAAAGGGCGCGUAGGCGGCGCGGUAAGUCACUUGUGAAAUCUCUGAGCUUAACUCAGAACGGCCAAGUGAUACUGCUGUGCGAGAGUGCGGAAGAGNCAACCGGAAUUCUUGGUGUAGCGGUGAAAUGCGUAGAUAUCAAGAGGAACACCUGAGGCGAAGGCGGGUUGCUGGGCCGACACUGACGCUGAUGCGCGAAAGCCAGGGGAGCAAACG
Molecule: ribosomal RNA, 402 nt
Filed under: uncultured bacterium
Lineage: Bacteria
Description: bacterial SSU rRNA
Rfam family: Bacterial small subunit ribosomal RNA
Source: RNAcentral